Molecule: ribosomal RNA, 253 nt
Filed under: uncultured bacterium
Lineage: Bacteria
Description: partial 16S ribosomal RNA
Rfam family: Bacterial small subunit ribosomal RNA
Source: RNAcentral
UACGAAGGGGGCUAGCGUUGUUCGGAAUUACUGGGCGUAAAGGGCGCGUAGGCGGCACUGUUAGUCAGGCGUGAAAGUCCUGGGCUCAACCUGGGAACUGCGCUUGAUACGGCAGAGCUAGAGGAUGGAAGAGGGUCGCGGAAUUCCCAGUGUAGAGGUGAAAUUCGUAGAUAUUGGGAAGAACACCGGUGGCGAAGGCGGCGACCUGGUCCAUUACUGACGCUGAGGCGCGACAGCGUGGGGAGCAAACAGG